GGGUAAAAUUUGUGCUAAGUGCAAUUUCUACAACCUUGAGGACAAGGUUGGUUUUAAAGGGAAAGGUAUUGUAAUGAACCCACCAUAUUGGAUAGGCCCAAAUAGGAGUUAGUCAACUUAAGCCCAAAUAAUGAGACUAUGUGGGGACAUGAGUUACUAUUAAUAGGGUAGUAGGGGUAUUUUGUGAGUUAUGUGAUUGGUGAAGUUGUUAUUCUUCUCUCCCAAACUCUCUUUUCACAUCUCAAAUUCCUUUUGUAUUGCAACUAUUUGAUCUAAAUUCAAUAAGAAUGAUUCCUAUCUUAGCUUUAUUUCCUAUUCAAUUUUAGUAUCAUUUCAGUAUAUGAANN
RNAcentral lists this long non-coding RNA (347 nucleotides) under Trifolium pratense (red clover). RNAcentral's name for it is "long non-coding RNA (TPRA_LNC011932)". The record is from RNAcentral. Lineage: Eukaryota; Viridiplantae; Streptophyta; Magnoliopsida; Fabales; Fabaceae.